UCCAGAGUAUAUAUUUUUAUCUAAAAGAAAAUAACAAGAAAAAAAUUACAAAAGAAAAAUAGGUGUUUUUACAUUAAAAACCACAAGCAUAUAUAUGUAGUCACAGGCUGAUUGCACUAGCUAAGGCAUCUUGGCACCUGGAUAAUAAUGAAGCCAAAUGAUGGCAAAUUCACUUUAAAUACUUGGAUGUCUAGAGCUCAGACCAGGAUGCUAUGCCCCUGUGUCAUCUAAACAAUAUGUGACUUGAGGGUAGGUUAUUAUUGUGCAAUAGUUUUUCUCAUGAAAAACUAAGAACAUAAGCCUUUCUUACUUUAUCUCUUUGUGGUAUUUCCCUGCCUCUAUCCAGGAACAGCAGAAAUUAUAACCAGACUGCUGGGCAAGUCAGUGCUUCAUUUCCCCCUAAGACCUUGGAGCCAAGGCUGCAGCCUAACGUACUUUCUCAGGAUGUCAGGCAUGCCUUCACGUGGGCUGAAGGAGCCCAGGGAGUAAGUCAACGCCGCUAGAGCCAACUCAGCCUCUCAACAGGGACGCUGAAGCGUUUCUUCAGCACAAAGCAUUCUUUCAUUUGUGAAUCACAAGAGCUCAUCUUUCAAGGCAGCCAAUUCCUGGGUUUCUAGUGCUUAUUAUUCCUUAGAUAAGAGGAGGCUUGUCGUGGGGAUCCAUUUGAUGUAUACUUAAACAUCCAUGUAUCCCUUGUUACUCUGAACUUUCCUUCUACUGUGCUUUGGCCAGUAAUCAGAGAUAUGUGUUCAGCUAAGAGCACAUUUCUAUCCUGCCCAUUUUAUCCAUCUUUUUCAGGGUUCUUUGAAGACAGUGUUGAAAUUUGCCAUCUUAUAAUCAUUCCCAUGGCAACAAGCUGUGAGAAGACAAACAAACAUAGGGUUAAGACUUCACUGCAGGAAUCAAGCAGAUGGAAAAAUCAGGCUGUGAGGGAGAAAACCUUUAUUUAAACAUAAAUAUCUUUAGGAAGAGAAUGAAGAAAUGAGAAACUGACUAAAAGCAGCUUAGAAAGACAUGAGUUUGUCCUUUGCUAUGCUGCUCAUGAAUGCUCGGAUGCCAGCAAUGAUGCAAAAAACAGAUUUCAUAUUAGUAAAAGAAAACAGUCUUGAAGCAGCUUUUAUGAGGGAUAAAGAGAAGCAAGUAACUUAGUUAUGUUAAACCUGUAUUUCUGCAUCACUGAACCAAACAUAGAUGGAAACCUAACUGGAUCCAAAGAAGCUGGUUUGGCUACAAAUGUAGAGAAAGCCACACUAACAAGUUUCUCAAUGCCAGUGAACAUGUCCUGUACUGUGACCUUGAUGCU
Long non-coding RNA from Physeter macrocephalus (sperm whale), 1303 nucleotides. RefSeq lists it as uncharacterized. The transcript has 3 exons. The record is from RefSeq and is a predicted model, not a curated record. NCBI's taxonomy places the organism in Eukaryota, Metazoa, Chordata, Mammalia, Artiodactyla, Physeteridae.